RNAcentral lists this ribosomal RNA (2044 nucleotides) under Ignavibacteriota bacterium. RNAcentral's name for it is "Ignavibacteriae bacterium (groundwater metagenome) partial 23S ribosomal RNA". It matches the Rfam family "Bacterial large subunit ribosomal RNA", at positions 1 to 2012 of the family's 2925-position model. The record is from RNAcentral. Lineage: Bacteria; Pseudomonadati; Ignavibacteriota.
UUUUUGGUUAAGUUACAAAGGGCAUAUCGAGGAUGCCUUGGCACUAAUAGGCGAUGAAGGACGUGGCUACCUGCGAUAAGCCCCGGCAAGACGGUAACAGUCUUAGACCCGGGGAUUUCCGAAUCGGGCAACCGAUCCAGAGUAAUGUCUGGAUAUGUUCUGCUGAAUCCAUAGGCAGAAACAAGCCAACGAAGGGAACUGAAACAUCUAAGUACCUUCAGGAAGAGAAAACAACCGUGAUUUCCUUAGUAGCGGCGAGCGAAACGGAAAGAGCCUAAACCGUUCAGCGUGUCAAGCGUGAUUGCGUUGCGCUGACGGAGUUGUGGGACUUUUGGGUGGAAAAUCACUACACCAAAGAGUUACAAAUCUUAAUGUUAACUGAAUGUUCUGGAAAGUUCAACCAUAGAGGGUGAAAGUCCUGUAAGUGAAAACAUUAAGACUCUUAAAAGUAUCCCGAGUACCACGGAGCACGUGAAAUUCUGUGGGAAUCCGCCAGAACCAUCUGGUAAGGCUAAAUACUCAUUAGUGACCGAUAGUGAACAAGUACCGUGAGGGAAAGGUGAAAAGUACUCCUAACAGGAGGGUGAAAUAGUACCUGAAACGAUAUGCCUACAAACGGUAGUAGUCUGGUAAGUCAGCUUGCUGAUUUAUCGGAUGACUGCGUGCCUUUUGUUUAAUGAGCCAACGAGUUACUCGUAUGUUGCUGGCUAAAUCUCUAAGAGAUGUAACCAAAGCGAAAGCAAGUCCGAAACGGGCGAUUUAUAGUAACAUGCGGUAGACGCGAAACUGUGUGAUCUAUCCUUGACCAGGAUGAAGUAUCGGUAAAACGGUAUGGAGGUCCGAACCAGUGUGGGUUGAAAACCGCUUGGAUGAGUUGAGGAUAGGAGCGAAAGACCAAUCAAACUCAGAGAUAGCUCGUACUCCUCGAAAUAGCUUUAGGGCUAGCCUCGAGUAAAAGUAUGUUGGAGGUAGAGCACUAACUGGGCUAGGGCUGUCACAACGGUACCAAACCCAAAUAAACUCCGAAUUCCAAUCAUAUGUUUCUCGGGAGUCAGGCAGUGGGGGAUAAGCUUCAUUGCCGAGAGGGGAAUAACCCAGACCACCAAUUAAGGUCCCCAAGUUUAUGUUAACAGACUAAGGAUGUUAGGUUGCUAUGACAACUAGGAUGUUGGCUUAGAAGCAGCCACUCAUUUAAAGAGUGCGUAAUAGCUCACUAGUCAAGCGACUUAGCGCCGAUAAUACACGGGACUUAAACAUAACACCGAAAUUGUGGUUCUUUUUUAAGAAGGUAGAGGAGCAUUCUAUUUGCGACUGAAGGUGUCCGGCGACGGGUGCUGGAGCGGAUAGAAAAGAAAAUGUUGGCAUAAGUAACGAUAAAUACGAUGAAAAAUCGUAUCACCGAAAAUCUAAGGUUUCCUGAGCAAUGUUAAUCAUCUCAGGGUUAGUCGGACCCUAAGCCGAGGCCGAAAGGCGUAGGUAAUGGGAAACAGGUUAAAUAUUCCUGUACCAUCGACAUUUAACUUUAAGGGACACAGGAGUGAAAGGGAAGCCGCCUGCUGGAAUAGGCGGUCUAAGGUCGUAGUUUGGGGCAACCCUUAUGAAAGCCGAACGGGAUGGCGCAAGCCUACAAACUUCCCCUAAUCAUACUGUCGAGAAAAGCUUAAAGGUAUACUAAGAUGUCCGUACCGCAAACCGACACAGGUAGAUGAGGAGAGUAUCCUAAGGUGCUCGAGUGAGCCGUGGUCAAGGAACUCGGCAAAUUAACCCCGUAACUUCGGGAUAAGGGGUGCUCCGAUUAAUCGGAGCCGCAGAGAAAUGGGCCAAGCGACUGUUUAACAAAAACACAUGUCUAUGCUAAGCCUUUAAGGCGAUGUAUAUGGACUGACACCUGCCCGGUGCUGGAAGGUUAAAAGGAGAGGUUAGCAGCAAUGCGAAGCUUUGAAUUGAAGCCCCAGUAAACGGCGGCCGUAACUAUAACGGUCCUAAGGUAGCGAAAUUCCUUGUCGGGUAAGUUCCGACCUGCACGAAUGGUGUAACGAUUUGG